GAUGAACGCUAGCGACAGGCUUAACACAUGCAAGUCGAGGGGCAGCGGGGUAGUGCUUGCACUACUGCCGGCGACCGGCGCACGGGUGAGUAACACGUAUGGAACCUGCCCGCAGCAGGGGGAUAAGCGGAAGAAAUUCCGUCUAAUACCGCGUAACAACGUUGGGAGGCAUCUCCCGAUGUUUAAAGAUUUAUCGGCUGCGGAUGGCCAUGCGGCGCAUUAGCUAGUCGGCGGGGUAACGGCCCACCGAGGCGACGAUGCGUAGGGGUUCUGAGAGGAAGGCCCCCCACACUGGUACUGAGACACGGACCAG
Molecule: ribosomal RNA, 313 nt
Filed under: uncultured bacterium
Lineage: Bacteria
Description: bacterial SSU rRNA
Rfam family: Bacterial small subunit ribosomal RNA
Source: RNAcentral